GUUUAAGGCAACACAGCCUGGUUCACGCCCGAUCUCGUUUGAUCUCGGGAAGCUAAGAUAGGUUGGGCCUGGUUAGUACUUGGAUGGGAGACCGCCUAGGAAUACCAGGUGCUGUAAGCC
This 120-nucleotide ribosomal RNA is filed under the name Scophthalmus maximus (turbot). Lineage: Eukaryota; Metazoa; Chordata; Actinopteri; Pleuronectiformes; Scophthalmidae. The record is from RNAcentral.